UUUACUCUCCCUUUUACUAGCUCCUUUCUUUCAUACUGUAAUGCAUGUUUCACGAAAGCGCAAACUAUUCUGAUGGCUACCAUAGCAGUAGCACCAGGCGAACAGUCAUCUCUUGUCAAUCUGAAAGCAACGCACCACCACCUCUUGUCAUCAAGUCAUCAGGAUUGUUAAUGCAUGCGGUCCUGUAACAAACUACAAGUACGCCUUGUUCUUCUCCCUUUCUUAAUAAGACGCCAUGCCUUCACUUCUCUCUUAUGUCCAAAUUUGAGCCUCUCUGGAACAACCAAAACAGAGAGAGAGUGCUCCCUCUGUAAACAAAUGAAGGACGUUUUUACAGUUUGAAUUGUAUAUACUGCAAAAACGGCUUACGUUUGUGUACAGAGGUAGUAGUAACAUUUAUGCAUGCGUGUAUAAAUUGUCGUUGCCGGACAAGAAUCGAAUGCGCAAAGCAAACUAGGCUCUAGCAAUGGCAUGCAUGUCAAACUCCGCAGCGACUAAUGUAAGUAGCAAGUUUCUGGAAGAAAUUCAGUUAAGGUCGGCCAUAGGCCUAAACACAGUUCCUUCCUCAGACAUACAGACAUGGAAAAAAAGGCAUCAGUUAAUGUUUACCUUAUUGAGCUUGACACCAAAGAGCAAGAGCACACUUGCGUAAAGUAAAGACCAAAAGCUAGCUGCCGACCUGACCACGCCUUGGCCCGCUUUACUUUCUUCCGUGGGAAACAUUACAUCAUUCAUAUAGUGACAUAGAUGCCAUGGCCUUGUGCUGACUUCAGGAAAUGAGCAGCAGCGCAACCAGACUAGGAUGCCGUCCAAACCUAGUCCGGUUGCAUACAAAUUCUACAGAUUUCAUACAGACGGGGUAGGGACAGGCGCACGAUCCUGGUGCACACAACAUACCGAUAUCACGAGCAAAAUUCAGGGAUAUAAUAAAAUCUGGAAGACGAAGAAACCGUAUGCCAGCUCAAA
This 966-nucleotide long non-coding RNA is filed under the name Hordeum vulgare. RNAcentral's name for it is "long non-coding RNA (HVUL_LNC001500)". The record is from RNAcentral. Lineage: Eukaryota; Viridiplantae; Streptophyta; Magnoliopsida; Poales; Poaceae.